RNAcentral lists this ribosomal RNA (427 nucleotides) under uncultured Vibrio sp. RNAcentral describes it as "bacterial SSU rRNA". It matches the Rfam family "Bacterial small subunit ribosomal RNA", at positions 353 to 772 of the family's 1533-position model. The record is from RNAcentral. Lineage: Bacteria; Pseudomonadati; Pseudomonadota; Gammaproteobacteria; Vibrionales; Vibrionaceae.
AGUGGGGAAUAUUGCACAAUGGGCGCAAGCCUGAUGCAGCCAUGCCGCGUGUGUGAAGAAGGCCUUCGGGUUGUAAAGCACUUUCAGUCGUGAGGAAGGCGGCGUCGUUAAUAGCGGCGUUGUUUGACGUUAGCGACAGAAGAAGCACCGGCUAACUCCGUGCCAGCAGCCGCGGUAAUACGGAGGGUGCGAGCGUUAAUCGGAAUUACUGGGCGUAAAGCGCAUGCAGGUGGUGUGUUAAGUCAGAUGUGAAAGCCCGGGGCUCAACCUCGGAAUAGCAUUUGAAACUGGCAGACUAGAGUACUGUAGAGGGGGGUAGAAUUUCAGGUGUAGCGGUGAAAUGCGUAGAGAUCUGAAGGAAUACCGGUGGCGAAGGCGGCCCCCUGGACAGAUACUGACACUCAGAUGCGAAAGCGUGGGGAGCAAA